GCCAAGGACACCAUCUUCUUGCCAAACGCUACACCGCCCUGCCGCAGACCGGCGACGCUGCGGAGGGAUUUGUGAGCCCUGAGUCAAUUCUGCCAAGGCUGUAGGAGGAGGUGGAUAUAAAUGGAACUCGUAGAUGUGUCACAUACUGGGGUGCACCACGAGAAGCAGGCUUACUGCCAGUCACACGUCCAUCAGUUAGGUCAGGGUUGGUUGAGGCCAAUGUCCACCUCGUCGUCAUGAAGUAAUGCUGGUUGCUACUGGUAGUGGUGCCCCUGCCAGCCCCUGUUUCCCCACCUUAGGUCCUGGUGUCUCCAUGAUGCGUGGACACAAACUGAUGAAAGCAGAAAGUAGAAUGGUGUUUCCCGGGAGUUUGGUAGAGGAGGACAGAGGGAGUUGCCUUUCAAUGGGUGUACAGUCUCAGUGAUGCGUGAUGGAAAGCUUCUGGAGAUGUGCUCUACAAUGCUGUGCUUGUAGUUAAAGGUUCGAAGCUCUAGGGAAAAAUACAGGAGACAAUAAGCCACCAUCACCUGUGGGAACUAGAAGAGCUCUAACAGUGGCACUCUCUGGACCCAGAGGGUGGAUGUUGCCCCUCCAAUGACAGCCAUCCACCUGGCCUGCCUCCGGCAGCUGUAAUGGAGAUGCUCAUACCCUCCCCAGACGGCCACAACAGGGAGCUUGCCAAGGUUUCUCUAUCACUGCGGUGGGCACUGUACAGAUGGAAUCCCACAUGUUGGGCAAAAGAUCAGGAUCCUUUUUGAUCUCCUGCACAGCAAACUCCAGAGCUGCAGCCUGUUGAUAGUUUCUGUGGAGACACUUGCAGUUUAGAGACAAUAUCAUAAUUAAGAACUUUCUUGAAAAUACAACUUGACCUCCAUGUGUCUGUGGGCUGGUUCCUUUUUAAACUUUAAGAUACCAGAAAUUAUGAGAUGUUAUCUCUUCAGACAUUAUAAAUAGUGUUUU
RNAcentral lists this long non-coding RNA (960 nucleotides) under Equus caballus (horse). RNAcentral describes it as "lncRNA (ENSECAG00000058163.1)". The record is from RNAcentral. Lineage: Eukaryota; Metazoa; Chordata; Mammalia; Perissodactyla; Equidae.